AGCGGUAGGGAAACGCCCGGUACCAUUCCGAACCCGGAAGCUAAGCCUACCAGCGCCGAUGGUACUGCACCCGAGGGGGUGUGGGAGAGUAGGACACCGCCGUCA
RNAcentral lists this ribosomal RNA (105 nucleotides) under Actinomycetaceae bacterium. Lineage: Bacteria; Bacillati; Actinomycetota; Actinomycetes; Actinomycetales; Actinomycetaceae. The record is from RNAcentral.